AGAGUUUGAUCCUGGCUCAGGAUAAACGCUGGCGGCGUGCCUUAUGCAUGCAAGUCGAACGGGUCACCUUUGGUGACCAGUGGCAAACGGGUGAGUAACGCGCAAGUAACCUGCCCUUAAGUAGGGGAUAACUCUGAGAAAUUGGAGCUAAUACCUUAUGUGGUGAUGGAGGUAAGGCCCCAUCACUAAAGCCCUAGGGCGCUUAAGGAGGAGCUUGCGUCCGAUUAGCUAGUUGGUAGGGUAAUGGCUUACCAAGGCGACGAUCGGUAGCUGGUUUGAGAGGAUGUCCAGCCACACUGGGAUUGAGAUACGGCCCAGACUCCUACGGGAGGCAGCAGCAAGGAAUAUUGUGCAAUGGGCGAAAGCCUGACACAGCGACGUCGCGUGGGGGAUGAAGGCCUUCGGGUUGUAAACCCCUUUUCUCAGGGAAGAAUAAUGACGGUACCUGAGGAAUAAGUCUCGGCUAACUACGUGCCAGCAGCCGCGGUAAUACGUAGGAGGCUAGCGUUAUCCGGAUUUACUGGGCGUAAAGAGGGCGUAGGCGGCUUUUCAAGUCGGAUGUAAAAUCUCCCGGCUUAACUGGGAGGGAUAAUCCGAUACUGUUGGGCUAGAGGGCAGCAGAGGGAGGUGGAAUUCCCGGUGUAGUGGUGAAAUGCAUAGAUAUCGGGAGGAACACCAGUGGCGAAGGCGGCCUCCUGGGCUGUUUCUGACGCUGAGGCCCGAAAGCGUGGGGAGCGAACAGAAUUAGAUACUCUGGUAGUCCACGCCGUAAACGAUGGACACUAGGUAUGGGGAGUAUCGACCCUCUCUGUGCCGAAGCUAACGCAUUAAGUGUCCCGCCUGGGGACUACGGCCGCAAGGCUAAAACUCAAAGGAAUUGACGGGGGCCCGCACAAGCAGCGGAGCGUGUGAUUUAUUCGAUGCAACGCGAGAACCUUACCAGGGUUGACAUGUCGAGUAGACCUGAAGGGGACGACCUGUUGAGUCAGGAGCCGUCACAGUGCUGCAUGCUGCGGUCAGCUCGUGCGUGAGGUGUUGGUUAAGUCCCGCACGACGUACCUCGUUGCAGUAAUUCUCUGCGAACCGCCUGCAAACGUAGGAGUUGGCAUGACGUCAGUCACAUGCCUUAGCCU
RNAcentral lists this ribosomal RNA (1133 nucleotides) under uncultured bacterium. RNAcentral describes it as "bacterial SSU rRNA". It matches the Rfam family "Bacterial small subunit ribosomal RNA", at positions 8 to 1209 of the family's 1533-position model. The record is from RNAcentral.